This 497-nucleotide ribosomal RNA is filed under the name uncultured bacterium. RNAcentral describes it as "partial 16S ribosomal RNA". It matches the Rfam family "Bacterial small subunit ribosomal RNA", at positions 28 to 507 of the family's 1533-position model. The record is from RNAcentral.
GAUGAACGCUGGCGGCGUGCCUAAUACAUGCAAGUCGAGCGAACAGACGAGGAGCUUGCUCCUCUGACGUUAGCGGCGGACGGGUGAGUAACACGUGGAUAACCUACCUAUAAGACUGGGAUAACUUCGGGAAACCGGAGCUAAUACCGGAUAAUAUAUUGAACCGCAUGGUUCAAUAGUGAAAGACGGUUUUGCUGUCACUUAUAGAUGGAUCCGCGCCGAAUUAGCUAAUUGGUAAGGUAACGGCUUACCAAGGCAACGAUGCGUAGCCGACCUGAGAGGGUGAUCGGCCACACUGGAACUGAGACACGGUCCAGACUCCUACGGGAGGCAGCAGUAGGGAAUCUUCCGCAAUGCGCGAAAGCCUGACGGAGCAACGCCGCGUGAGUGAUGAAGGUCUUCGGAUCGUAAAACUCUGUUAUUAGGGAAGAACAAAUGUGUAAGUAACUAUGCACGUCUUGACGGUACCUAAUCAGAAAGCCACGGCUAACUACGUG